CCAAUACCUCAUCCGGUAUGGGCGCCAAAACACAUAAGGUCUCCAUACCCCGUCCGAUAUGAGAGACCACGUUUCCGGUAGGGUUCCCUACGGACCCGGUUCGUCCACCAUCUCCCAAGAUAUCUAGUUAGGCUGUCGACAUCAUCUAUUUAUAAAUUCACAUACCUUUUUUUAUUUUUCUUGGUCUCAAUUAUCCAAUCAAAUAUAAACACGUAAACCAGUAAUGAACACCAAACAAGACAACAACGGGUUCACAAUAAUUCAAACCAUAAUAAAUGAAACCGUGAUUCAUGCAU
This 296-nucleotide long non-coding RNA is filed under the name Carica papaya (papaya). Its description in RNAcentral is "long non-coding RNA (CPAP_LNC001356)". Lineage: Eukaryota; Viridiplantae; Streptophyta; Magnoliopsida; Brassicales; Caricaceae. The record is from RNAcentral.